UCGGGAGUAUUGCUCAAUGGGCGAAAGCCUGAAGCAGCAACGCCGCGUGCGCGAUGAAGGCCUUCGGGUCGUAAAGCGCUUUUCGGUAGGAUGCAGUACUCCCGGAAUCAGUCACGGCUAACUACGUGCCAGCAGCCGCGGUAAAACGUAGGUGGCAAACGUUAUCCGGAUUUACUGGGCGUAAAGCGCGCUCAGGUGGCUCCGCAAGUCGGGCAUGAAAUCUCCUCGCCUAACGGGGAGAGGUUGUCCGAUACUGCGGGGCUUGAGAUCGGUAGAGGGUGGUGGAAUUCCGCAUGGAGUGGUGAAAUGCGUAGAGAUGCGGAGGAACACCAGUGGCGAAAGCGGCCACCUGGACCGAUUCUGACACUAACGCGCGAAAGCUA
Molecule: ribosomal RNA, 383 nt
Filed under: uncultured bacterium
Lineage: Bacteria
Description: bacterial SSU rRNA
Rfam family: Bacterial small subunit ribosomal RNA
Source: RNAcentral